RNAcentral lists this ribosomal RNA (492 nucleotides) under uncultured bacterium. Its description in RNAcentral is "partial 16S ribosomal RNA". It matches the Rfam family "Bacterial small subunit ribosomal RNA", at positions 29 to 507 of the family's 1533-position model. The record is from RNAcentral.
AGUGAACGCUGGCGGUAGGCCUAACACAUGCAAGUCGAACGGCAGCACAGUAAGAGCCUGCUCUUACGGGUGGCGAGUGGCGGACGGGUGAGGAAUACAUCGGAAUCUACUUUUUCGUGGGGGAUAACGUAGGGAAACUUACGCUAAUACCGCAUACGACCUACGGGUGAAAGCAGGGGAUCUUCGGACCUUGCGCGAUUGAAUGAGCCGAUGUCGGAUUAGCUAGUUGGCGGGGUAAAGUCCCACCAAGGCGACGAUCCGUAGCUGGUCUGAGAGGAUGAUCAGCCACACUGGAACUGAGACACGGUCCAGACUCCUACGGGAGGCAGCAGUGGGGAAUAUUGGACAAUGGGCGCAAGCCUGAUCCAGCCAUACCGCGUGGGUGAAGAAGGCCUUCGGGUUGUAAAGCCCUUUUGUUGGGAAAGAAAAGCAGCAGGUUAAUACCCCGCUGUUCUGACGGUACCCAAAGAAUAAGCACCGGCUAACUUCGUG